Hippopotamus amphibius kiboko is the source of this 381-nucleotide non-coding RNA. Lineage: Eukaryota; Metazoa; Chordata; Mammalia; Artiodactyla; Hippopotamidae. The record is from the annotation of a RefSeq genome assembly.
AUGAGGUUCCCUGCUCAGCUACUAGGGCUCCUCAUGCUCUGGGUCCAGGGAUGCAGUGGGGACAUUGUGCUGACCCAGACUCCACUCUCCCUGUCUGUCAUCCCUGGAGAGCCGGCCUCCAUCUCCUGCACAUCCAGUCAGAGCCUCCUACAUAGUGCUGGAGUCAAUUUUUUCAGUUGGUACCUGCAGAAGCCGGGCCAGUCUCCACAGCUCCUGAUCCAUGGGGGUUCCGACCGGGACACUGGGGUCCCAGACAGGUUCACCGGCAGUGGGUCAGAAACAGAUUUCACUCUUAGAAUCAGCAGGGUGGAGGCUGAGGAUGUUGGAGUUUAUUACUGCAUGCAAGCUAUAGAAGAUCCUCUCACAGUGGUACAGCCCUGA